GCCUACGGGGGGCAGCAGUGGGGAAUAUUGGACAAUGGGCGAAAGCCUGAUCCAGCAAUGCCGCGUGAGUGAUGAAGGCCUUAGGGUUGUAAAGCUCUUUUACCCGGGAUGAUAAUGACAGUACCGGGAGAAUAAGCUCCGGCUAACUCCGUGCCAGCAGCCGCGGUAAUACGGAGGGAGCUAGCGUUGUUCGGGAUUACUGGGCGUAAAGCGCACGUAGGCGGCUUUGUAAGUUAGAGGUGAAAUCCUGGGGCUCAACUCCAGAAUUGCCUUUAAGACUGCAUCGCUUUGAUCCGGGAGAGGUGAGUGGAAUUCCGAGUGUAUAGGUGAAAUUCGUAGAUAUUCGGAAGAACACCAGUGGCGAAGGCGGCUCACUGGACCGGUAUUGACGCUGAGGUGCGAAAGCGUGGGGAGCAAACAGGAUUAGAUACCCCAGUAGUC
RNAcentral lists this ribosomal RNA (441 nucleotides) under uncultured Sphingomonadaceae bacterium. Its description in RNAcentral is "bacterial SSU rRNA". It matches the Rfam family "Bacterial small subunit ribosomal RNA", at positions 337 to 795 of the family's 1533-position model. The record is from RNAcentral. Lineage: Bacteria; Pseudomonadati; Pseudomonadota; Alphaproteobacteria; Sphingomonadales; Sphingomonadaceae.